This 94-nucleotide microRNA precursor is filed under the name Branchiostoma floridae (Florida lancelet). RNAcentral describes it as "mir-2060 microRNA precursor family". It matches the Rfam family "mir-2060 microRNA precursor family". The record is from Rfam by way of RNAcentral. Lineage: Eukaryota; Metazoa; Chordata; Leptocardii; Amphioxiformes; Branchiostomatidae.
GUUUAUUUGUGUGUGGAUGGUGUUCUGCACCAGGGACAGGCCUGUUUAUUUGUGUGUGGAUGGUUUUUAGCACCAGGGACAGGCAUGUUUAUUU